Molecule: ribosomal RNA, 494 nt
Filed under: uncultured bacterium
Lineage: Bacteria
Description: partial 16S ribosomal RNA
Rfam family: Bacterial small subunit ribosomal RNA
Source: RNAcentral
GACGAACGCUGGCGGCGUGCUUAACACAUGCAAGUCGAACGGAAAGGCCUGCUUUCCCUUGUGGAUUGCGGGUACUCGAGUGGCGAACGGGUUAGUAACACGUGAGUGAUCUGCCCCCAACUUGGGUAUAAGCCUGGGAAACUGGGUCUAAUUCCCGAUAGGACUGCAGGGUGGUGCCUGUGGUGGAAAACGAUUUUCUAGUGGUUGGGGAUGAGCUCGCGGCCUAUCAGCUUGUUGGUGGGGUAAUGGCCUACCAAGGCGGCGACGGGUAGCCGGCCUGAGAGGGUGGACGGCCACAUUGGGACUGAGAUACGGCCCAGACUCCUACGGGAGGCAGCAGUGGGGAAUAUUGCACAAUGGGCGGAAGCCUGAUGCAGCGACGCCGCGUGGGGGAUGACGGCCUUCGGGUUGUAAACUCCUUUCGACCGCGAGGAAGCCACCUGGUUGGAAGGGUGGUGACGGUAGUGGUAGAAGAAGCACCGGCUAACUACGUG